Molecule: ribosomal RNA, 465 nt
Filed under: uncultured bacterium
Lineage: Bacteria
Description: partial 16S ribosomal RNA
Rfam family: Bacterial small subunit ribosomal RNA
Source: RNAcentral
GACGAACGCUGGCGGCGUGCUUAACACAUGCAAGUCGAGCGAGGCCCCUCCUUCGGGAGGGUGUCCUAGCGGCGAACGGGUGAGUAACACGUGGGCAACCUGCCCUCAGCUCUGGGAUAACUCCGGGAAACCGGGGCUAAUACCGGAUACGACCUCCACGGGCAUCUGCGGAGGUGGAAAGUUUUUCGGCUGAGGAUGGGCCCGCGGCCUAUCAGCCAGUUGGUGGGGUAGUGGCCCACCAAGGCGACGACGGGUAGCCGGCCUGAGAGGGCGACCGGCCACACUGGGACUGAGACACGGCCCAGACUCCUACGGGAGGCAGCAGUGGGGAAUAUUGCGCAAUGGGCGAAAGCCUGACGCAGCGACGCCGCGUGAGGGACGAAGGCCUUCGGGUUGUAAACCUCUUUCAGCAGGGACGAAGCGAAAGUGACGGUACCUGCAGAAGAAGCACCGGCCAACUACGUG